GAUGAACGCUGGCGGCGUGCCUAAUACAUGCAAGUCGAGCGAACGGACGAGAAGUUUGCUUCUCUCAUGUUAGCGACGGACGGGUGAGUAACACGUGGAUAACCUAUCUAUAAGACUGGGAUAACUUCGGGAAACCUGCGCUAAUACCGGAUGAUAUUUUGAACCGAAUGGUUCAAAAGUGAAAGACGGUCUUGCUGUCACUUAUAGAUGGAUUCGCGCUGCAUUAGCUAGUUGGUAAGGUAACGGCUUACCAAGGCAACGAUGCAUAGCCGAUCUGAGAGGGUGAUCGGCCACACAGGAACUGAGACACGGACCAGACUCCUACGGGAGGCAGCGGUGGGGAAUCGUCGACAAUGGGCGAAAGCCUGACGGAGCAACGCCGCGUGGGUGAUGAGAGUCUUCGGAUCGUAAAACUCUGUUAUUAGGGAAGAACAUAUGUGUAAGUAACUGUGCACAUCUUGACGGUACCGAAUCAGAAAGCCACGGCUAACUACGUG
This 497-nucleotide ribosomal RNA is filed under the name uncultured bacterium. RNAcentral's name for it is "partial 16S ribosomal RNA". It matches the Rfam family "Bacterial small subunit ribosomal RNA", at positions 28 to 507 of the family's 1533-position model. The record is from RNAcentral.